ACGAGGAAAAAAACCCACAGGGAUUCCCUUAGUAGCGGCGAGUGAAGCGCCAAAGCUCAAAUUUGAAAUCUGGCUCUUUCAGAGUCCGAGUUGUAAUUUGAAGAAGGUAUCUUUGGGUGUGGCUCUUGUAUAUGUUUCGUGGCACAGAACGUCACAGAGGGUGAAUAUCCCGUGCGAUGAGAUGAUCCAGGCCUAUGUAAAGUUCCUUCGAAGAGUCGAGUUGUUUGGGAAUGCAGCUCUAAGUGGGUGGUAAAUUCCAUCUAAAGCUAAAUAUUGGCGAGAGACCGAUAGCGAACAAGUACAGUGAUGGAAAGAUGAAAAGAACUUUGAAAAGAGAGUGAAAAAGUACGUGAAAUUGUUGAAAGGGAAGGGCUUGAGAUCAGACUUGGUAUUUUGUAUGUUACUUCUUCGGGGGUGGCCUCUACAGUUUAUCGGGCCAGCAUCAGUUUGGGCGGUAGGAGAAUUGCGUUGGAAUGUGGCACGGCUUCGGUUGUGUGUUAUAGCCUUCGUCGAUACUGCCAGCCUAGACUGAGGACUGCGGUUUAUACCUAGGAUGUUGGCAUAAU
This 566-nucleotide ribosomal RNA is filed under the name Candida tropicalis. RNAcentral's name for it is "eukaryotic LSU rRNA". It matches the Rfam family "Eukaryotic large subunit ribosomal RNA", at positions 51 to 635 of the family's 3401-position model. Lineage: Eukaryota; Fungi; Ascomycota; Pichiomycetes; Serinales; Debaryomycetaceae. The record is from RNAcentral.